Molecule: ribosomal RNA, 215 nt
Filed under: uncultured bacterium
Lineage: Bacteria
Description: partial 16S ribosomal RNA
Rfam family: Bacterial small subunit ribosomal RNA
Source: RNAcentral
GACGAACGCUGGCGGCGUGCUUAACACAUGCAAGUCGAGCGGUAAGGCCCUUUCGGGGGUACGACGAGCGGCGAACGGGUAGGAGUAACACGUGGGUGGACCUGCCCUCCAGCUCUGGGAGUAAAGCCCGGGAAACCGUAGGGUCGUAAUAACCGGAUAUGACUCCAUGACGCAUGUUGUGGGGUGGAAAGCCUUGUGCGGCUGAGGAUGGGCCC